Molecule: non-coding RNA, 148 nt
Filed under: Gorilla gorilla gorilla (western lowland gorilla)
Lineage: Eukaryota; Metazoa; Chordata; Mammalia; Primates; Hominidae
Source: Rfam by way of RNAcentral
GCCAGGUGUGGUGGUGCACACCUGUAAUCCCAGCUACUUGGGAGGCUGAGGCACGAGAAUUGCUUGAACCCGGGAGGUAGAGGUUGCAGUGAGCCGAGAUCAUGCCACUGCACUCCAGCCUGGGUGACAGAGCAAGACUUUGUCUUAA